ACAUGCCCACAACAUAGUGUUAAUGCACCAGAUCCCAUUAGAACUCCACAGUUAAGUGCACUUAGGCUAGAGUAGUACUAGGAUGCAUGACCACUCGUGAAGUCCUAGUGUUUUACAUUCC
Picea glauca (white spruce) is the source of this 121-nucleotide non-coding RNA. The record is from Rfam. Lineage: Eukaryota; Viridiplantae; Streptophyta; Pinopsida; Pinales; Pinaceae.